This 272-nucleotide ribosomal RNA is filed under the name uncultured bacterium. Its description in RNAcentral is "partial 16S ribosomal RNA". It matches the Rfam family "Bacterial small subunit ribosomal RNA", at positions 86 to 354 of the family's 1533-position model. The record is from RNAcentral.
UGCCGGCGACCGGCGCACGGGUGAGUAACACGUAUGCGACCUGCCCCCCGCAGGGGGAUAACCGGGAGAAAUCCCGACUAAUACCGCGUAACGCCGCGGACCUGCAUGGGUCUGCGGCCAAAGGAAGCGAUUCCGGCGGGGGAUGGGCAUGCGGCGCAUUAGCUAGUCGGCGGGGUAACGGCCCACCGAGGCGACGAUGCGUAGGGGUUCUGAGAGGAAGGUCCCCCACGCUGGUACUGAGACACGGACCAGACUCCUACGGAAGGCAGCAG